UUCUUAACACAUGAGUGAACGUGUAGUCUCAUUCUUAACACUUAACUCAUUUCUCGAUAAACAAUAUUCUUUUUCCUAUAACCUAACGCUCUUUCCGUCGCCGCUCCAAACAUUCUCUCCCCAACUUCAGUGAAGCUCAAAUUUCUAUUGGUAUCUUCAAAAGGAUUUCCUCUACGGCUGGAUUUGCAGAUAACAAAGCUUUAGAGGAUGCUAUUGCUACCAUUGACAAAAUUGCAAUGCCAAUAGAUGUUCAAGAUCGUUAGUUUUAUUAUUCAUUUCAAGAUUGGUUAGGGAGGAAGUAGAAUUGGCCCUAAAGAAGCAUUUGAAUAGCAUGCAACAGAGCUCGAAUUCAAGGAGAGAACGACUCGAACUUAAGGCAAUGUUUAGUUGAUGCCGUAACAGGGAAGGUUGUUUGAACAGGACCUUAAUAUUUUGCUAAGGUGAAAAUUGUAGUCGUUGAAGGUGAUUUUAAAGAAGAAAGUGACAUUUUGAUGCCUAAAGAAGUGAUUUUAUAUCUUAAGGACGGGGAUUGUAGAAUAAGAGAAGCAAAGACACAAGAGUAUUGUACAAGAAACACCACCCUCCAAGUCUUUUGGAUGAAAUUGGGAGACAUGUAAAGAUAGGCUAGACGGAUGAAAGUGUGAUGGAGAUGCAUGCACUACUUGUAGUUCCCCAAACCAUUCAAAUUCUCGAAGUCCAUGCACCGAUGAAGAAGGAAGAGAGGAAGAAUAGAAAUUGAUUUUAUCUUAGAUAUGUUUUUUUUUUUGUUUUUUGACGUAGCAUAUAUUUUGGUGAUUGUUUGUUAUAUAACAUUUUUGUUAUUUUAAUAUGUUUGUAAGACUAUAAUUGAAAUUUUCUUUGCUAUUGUUAUAAAUU
Vicia villosa (hairy vetch) is the source of this 876-nucleotide long non-coding RNA. RefSeq lists it as uncharacterized. NCBI's taxonomy places the organism in Eukaryota, Viridiplantae, Streptophyta, Magnoliopsida, Fabales, Fabaceae. The transcript has 6 exons. The record is from RefSeq and is a predicted model, not a curated record.